Molecule: ribosomal RNA, 439 nt
Filed under: uncultured bacterium
Lineage: Bacteria
Description: partial 16S ribosomal RNA
Rfam family: Bacterial small subunit ribosomal RNA
Source: RNAcentral
CUACGGGCCGCUGCAGUGAGGAAUAUUGCACAAUGGGGGGAACCCUGAUGCAGCAACGCCGCGUGGAGGAUGACGCAUUUCGGUGUGUAAACUCCUUUUAUAUGUCAAGAAAAUGACGGUAGCAUAUGAAUAAGCACCGGCUGACUCCGUGCCAGCAGCCGCGGUAAUACGGAGGGUGCAAGCGUUACUCGGAAUCACUGGGCGUAAAGGACGCGUAGGCGGGUUGGAAAGUCAGGUGUGAAAUCCUACAGCUUAACUGUAGAACUGCACUUGAAGCUUCUAAUCUUGAGUAUGGGAGGGGGAGAUGGAAUUAGUGGUGUAGGGGUAAAAUCCGUAGAUAUCACUAGGAAUACCUAAAGCGAAGGCGAUCUCCUGGAACAUUACUGACGCUAAGGCGUGAAAGCGUGGGGAGCAAACAGGAUUAGAUACCCUUGUAGUC